CUUUAUUGGAGAGUUUGAUCCUGGCUCAGGACGAACGCUGGCGGCAUGCCUAAUACAUGCAAGUCGAGCGGACUUGAAGAGAAGCUUGCUUCUCUGAUGGUUAGCGGCGGACGGGUGAGUAACACGUAGGCAACCUGCCCUCAAGUUUGGGACAACUACCGGAAACGGUAGCUAAUACCGAAUAAUUGUUUUCUUCGCCUGAAGGAAAC
This 209-nucleotide ribosomal RNA is filed under the name Paenibacillus amylolyticus. Its description in RNAcentral is "partial 16S ribosomal RNA". It matches the Rfam family "Bacterial small subunit ribosomal RNA", at positions 1 to 200 of the family's 1533-position model. Lineage: Bacteria; Bacillati; Bacillota; Bacilli; Caryophanales; Paenibacillaceae. The record is from RNAcentral.